This 440-nucleotide ribosomal RNA is filed under the name uncultured bacterium. RNAcentral describes it as "partial 16S ribosomal RNA". It matches the Rfam family "Bacterial small subunit ribosomal RNA", at positions 338 to 795 of the family's 1533-position model. The record is from RNAcentral.
CCUACGGGCGGCAGCAGUGGGGGAUAUUGCACAAUGGGGGGAACCCUGAUGCAGCGACGCCGCGUGGGUGAAGGAGCGUUUCGGCGCGUAAAGCCCUAUUGGCAGGGAAGAAGAUGACGGUACCUGGCCAAGAAGCCCCGGCUAACUACGUGCCAGCAGCCGCGGUAAUACGUAGGGGGCAAGCGUUAUCCGGAUUUACUGGGUGUAAAGGGGGCGCAGACGGCAAUGCAAGCCAGGAGUGAAAGCCCGGGGCCCAACCCCGGGACUGCUCUUGGAACUGCAUGGCUGGAGUACAGGAGGGGCAGGCGGAAUUCCUAGUGUAGCGGUGAAAUGCGUAGAUAUUAGGAGGAACACCGGUGGCGAAGGCGGCCUGCUGGACUGUGACUGACGUUGAGGCCCGAAGGCGUGGGGAGCAAACAGGAUUAGAUACCCGAGUAGUC